GAUGAACGCUGGCUACAGGCUUAACACAUGCAAGUCGAGGGGAAACGGCAUUGAGUGCUUGCACUGAAUGGACGUCGACCGGCGCACGGGUGAGUAACGCGUAUCCAACCUUCCCGUUACUGCGGGAUAACCUGCCGAAAGGCAGACUAAUACCGCAUGUUCUUCGAUGACUGCAUCAGAUUCGAAGCAAAGAUCCGUCGGUAACGGAGGGGGAGGCGGCUGAUUAGCUAGUUGGCGGGGCGACGGCUCACCAAGGCGACGAUCAGGAGGGGUUCUGAGGGGAAGGGCCCCCACAUUGGAACUGGGACACGGGCCAAAGUCCUACGGGAGGCAGCAGUGAGGAAUAUUGGUGAGUGGGCGGAAGCCUGAACCAGCCAAGUAGCGUGCAGGAUGACGGCCCUACGGGUUGUAAACUGCUUUUAGGAGGGGAUAAAGUGAGGGACGCGUCCCUUUUUGAAGGUACCGGAUGAAUAAGGACCGGCUAAUUCCGUG
RNAcentral lists this ribosomal RNA (492 nucleotides) under uncultured bacterium. RNAcentral describes it as "partial 16S ribosomal RNA". It matches the Rfam family "Bacterial small subunit ribosomal RNA", at positions 28 to 507 of the family's 1533-position model. The record is from RNAcentral.